GAUGAACGCUGACAGAAUGCUUAACACAUGCAAGUCUUUGGCGAAGCUGUGCUCGCACAGCCUAGCCAAGGCGGACGGGUGAGUAACGCGUAAGGAACUUGCCCUGCAGUCAGGGAUAACAGACGGAAACGACUGAUAAGACCUGGUAAAGUCAGGCGGACUCAUGUCCAGCCCGAUGAAAAGGGAUGCUGCAGGAGAGCCUUGCGUCCUAUUAGCUUGUUGGUGGGGUAACGGCCCAACAAGGCGAUGAUAGGUAGCCGGCCUGAGCGGGUGGACGGCCACAAGGGGGACGGGAGACGGCCCUUACUCCUACGGGAGGCAGGGGUGGAGAAUAUUGGACAAAGGGGGCAAGCCUGAUGCAGCACUUCUGUGUGCACGAUGAAGGUUUUCGGAAUGAAAAGUGCUUUCAGAAGGGAAGAAAAAAAUGACGGUACCUGCAGAAGAAGCGACGGCUAAAUACGUG
Molecule: ribosomal RNA, 463 nt
Filed under: uncultured bacterium
Lineage: Bacteria
Description: partial 16S ribosomal RNA
Rfam family: Bacterial small subunit ribosomal RNA
Source: RNAcentral